Molecule: transfer RNA, 61 nt
Filed under: Corynebacterium xerosis
Lineage: Bacteria; Bacillati; Actinomycetota; Actinomycetes; Mycobacteriales; Corynebacteriaceae
Also listed under: 4 other names
Rfam family: tRNA
About the family: Transfer RNA (tRNA) molecules are approximately 80 nucleotides in length. Their secondary structure includes four short double-helical elements and three loops (D, anti-codon, and T loops).
Source: RNAcentral
CAUAGCUCAAUGGCAGAGCAUUCGACUGUUAAUCGAAGGGUUGCUGGUUCGAGUCCAGCUG